AUUCUCAUUCUUACCUGGGUUUGCUUCAUUUAAAGCAUUAUUUAAACCACUCAAUUUUUAAUCAUUCUCCACAGAAACUAAAAUACAUGUUCUUCCACAAUACAGAGUCACGUUGCUGGCUGCACUUCCCACGCCUGGUGCUUCUCACCCACCCUCUUCUUGAAACUGAAAGAGCGCCCAAUUUUCUUAAUUGACAGGACGUUUUCGGGAGAAGAUAGCACCUCCACCAUCUGCACAAGAAUCCCCUCCCACGACCAGCUUCAGCCAAUUGAGUCUUGGGAGCACCAGUCCCUCCAAGCCAGUGGUAAGAGGCAGCACCCCGGGAAAAGAGAGCAAGUUGUGACCUAAGGACUGAGGACAAGGAGUUCAGCUCAGAUCAGGAACUUGCUGAAAGAAGACCCCAUCGGUAGCUCAUGCAGACUCAGUGAAACUUUGCAGGCACCAGUGCUGGAAUACCGCUCAGAAUGUUCCAGUACCUUAGACCAGCAUCAGGGAACCUUCCAGAGGGGAAGUCAAGCAGCUUGCCCACCCAUGAGAAGAGUUUGAAGAGUUGCAAGCAGGAGAAACAAAAUCUGUGAGGGUGACGAGAGUGACCAAACCUGCAAGCCAGACUUCAAGCUCUUUGACAGAGAAAAAACACAUCUCAUCUUUAUGUUCUUCCUGGCACCUCUGAGAGACAUGGAGAGACUCAGGAAGCUGGUGGAUCGUGGUUCAGGGCAGUCAUGGAUGCAGGUGCGUUUACCUUUGACUGAAGUUGGAGCCGCCUUCUCUGGGAUGACUGUUGGUUGGUCUCCUCCACAUCAUACAGUAGGAAGGUGAUCUCACUGGGAUUACCACCUCCCCACCUGACGCCGCCCCCAGGCAGGCCAGUCUGCUUAGCCCCGAUAUCCCCGAGGUGGCAGAUGCUUUGUCCCCAUUGCCUCAGCUCUGCCUGAGAGCUGUUGCUACCCACCAUGCAUUGUGCUAAUCCUGGGAAUGACCUUGCGGGGCGGGCAGGAAACAAGCAAGAAAUCAGUAUUGUUGCAGAGCUGUCCAUCAGAGUGUCCGGGCUAAGUAUGGCUGGCUUAGGGACCACUUUCGGCAUGAACUUGGAGCUCUUAAGGGCAAGGUCUGAAGCAUCUCCAUAUUCACAGUGCCUAGCUUAGCACCUAGUAGGUAUUCACCUGGCAUGGAGUACGUGAAUUGUGUCUAUAGUUAGCAGCAACUGAGAAGUUCGUGGAGGCAAUGAGAACAGAUGUUAAUGGCUGUAGUGAAUGUCCUCCUGGGCCACUCCCAUCCCCAGUGAGAGUGCAUCACCCCUUUGAUGUAUAGCAAAGUUCUGGGUCCCCAGCACAAAACACAGAAAGGGCUUCCUGCCUUUUGUUGUUGCAAAAUCUCUGCCUCCCCUGGGGAAAGAAAAAAGAGUGUGGGGGGACAUUCUGUGUAUACAUC
Myotis davidii is the source of this 1431-nucleotide long non-coding RNA. RefSeq lists it as uncharacterized. The transcript is spliced from 4 exons. The record is from RefSeq and is a predicted model, not a curated record. Lineage: Eukaryota; Metazoa; Chordata; Mammalia; Chiroptera; Vespertilionidae.